Molecule: long non-coding RNA, 340 nt
Filed under: Androctonus crassicauda
Lineage: Eukaryota; Metazoa; Arthropoda; Arachnida; Scorpiones; Buthidae
Source: RNAcentral
AAAAAAAUAUAAAUAACUUGUUUUCGAUCAAUUUUCAUGGUUAGUGGGUCUCCGGGACCUCACGGUGUCCGUUCACCAACGAACAAUUGUUUCCUUAGUCGUCAACGAACGAUCGUACUCGCCGAUAAUCUAAAUUAUUUUCUGCUUUCACGUUCUUCUUCGAAUGUCUCCAGUAUCAUCUUCAUAUCCGAGAACAAGAAAAGGCCGAGUUUCUCACCUCAGAAUUUAUCGCAUGGUGAACCGAUAUCUGUGAAACGGACUUGAAUUCAGAUUAUUUGGAUACUCAUUUUCUCCAGGUAUUUAAAAAAAUGUCGGGCUCUAUGUUAUAUGUAAAAGCUCU